This 460-nucleotide ribosomal RNA is filed under the name uncultured bacterium. Its description in RNAcentral is "partial 16S ribosomal RNA". It matches the Rfam family "Bacterial small subunit ribosomal RNA", at positions 338 to 795 of the family's 1533-position model. The record is from RNAcentral.
CCUACGGGUGGCAGCAGUGAGGAAUAUUGGUCAAUGGACGAGAGUCUGAACCAGCCAAGUAGCGUGAAGGAUGACUGCCCUAUGGGUUGUAAACUUCUUUUAUAUGGGAAUAAAACGUUCCACGUGUGGGAUUUUGUAUGUACCAUAUGAAUAAGGAUCGGCUAACUCCGUGCCAGCAGCCGCGGUAAUACGGAGGAACCGAGCGUUAGCCGGAUUUAUUGGGUUUAAAGGGAGCGUAGGUGGAUUGUUAAGUCAGUUGUGAAAGUUUGCGGCUAAACCGUAAAAUUGCAGUUGAAACUGGCAGUCUUGAGUACAGUAGAGGUGGGCGGAAUUCGUGGUGUAGCGGUGAAAUGCUUAGAUAUCACGAAGAACUCCGAUUGCGAAGGCAGUUCACUGGACUGCAACUGACACUGAGGCUCGAAAGUGUGGGUAUCAAACAGGAUUAGAUACCCGAGUAGUC